UACGUAGGGAGCAAGCGUUGUCCGGAAUCAUUGGGCGUAAAGCGCGCGUAGGCGGCCCGGUAAGUCCGCUCUGAAAGUCCAGGGCUCAACCCUGGAAUGCGGGUGGAUACUGCCGGGCUAGAGUCCGGAAGAGGCGAGUGGAAUUCCUGGUGUAGCGGUGGAAUGCGCAGAUAUCAGGAGGAACACCAAUAGCGAAGGCAGCUCGCUGGGACGGUACUGACGCUAAGGCGCGAAAGCGUGGGGAGCGAACAGG
Molecule: ribosomal RNA, 253 nt
Filed under: uncultured bacterium
Lineage: Bacteria
Description: partial 16S ribosomal RNA
Rfam family: Bacterial small subunit ribosomal RNA
Source: RNAcentral